AUUACCAGACGCGGGAUAAGACGGGUGUCAUUUCGAUUCAGUUUGUGCAGAGUCGCUGAGUUUUCUAUUCCUUGGAUUUUAAACGGGAAAUUAUUUCACUAGCUUUCUACAGAUUUACGUCAUCAUGAAUAUUUUGCUCAUGCUAAUCCUCAUUUCUGGUGUUGUUGCUAUGGUAGCCACAGACUGUGACGUAGCAGGAUGUAUGCGCGGGAUGCCUGAAGCUGGUUCUGGAAAGAGUAUUUGCUCACCUAUGAGAAUGAUAUUAACAUGUUUAGAAAAUGUGGUGAAUACUUGUCCGAUGUUGGCUGAUCACCAGGAAGCCAUAAGCAGACCUCUUGUUGAAGCAUUGGACUCCUUCAGCAGAUAUUGCGGGGACGGUCCCCCCAACACGUUACCAUAAUGUUGUGCUCUUUCUGUGGGCGUUUUCUACACGGAGUUAUCCAGUCUCAGCAUUUGCUUGCCGUAGUCCCUGUAGCAUUCGCAGCGGCGUCUAUAGUCGUUUGUAAACAUAAAUUGUAUUUUUUCUUGGACUGAUAUUUAGAAAUUGAACAUAUUAACACAAGGUACGGGUUUAGUUGUAAAUGACCCCCCCAUAAUCAAAGGUGUUAAGAUGUAUAUGUUACUUGUGUUGCAUAUUGUGUAUUAUGUUUGUCUUCUAAUCAUUAUCGGUAUCAUUUACUUAAUAAAGACGAGAGUAUCCCCGUCGAAACGUCGCUUAGUAUUAAACUCAGUAAUUGUGUAACGUUGGUGCAAUAAAUAACACAAAUAAUUCUUCAUGAAUUGUGCAUACCCUAUAGUUUCGGGUGCCAUUUGUUCAAAAGAUUAUAGCCCUAAGCCCUUUAAGCAUACCAGCUCCUGCCAAUACCAUCGCCACGUAUUCUAGCUGCUCCUCUGACAUUCACUGAAUUCUGUAGAAUUUUAAUUGGGUUAAUCCGUUUAUAUACGCCCACAUUUUCACGUGGACGUAUAUUGUCGUCACCCCUGUCCGUCCGUCCACAAUUUGUUUGUUGACAACUCUACAGGUUACAAUUUGUAUCCGAUUUUGACGACACUUGAAAUAUAGUUCUAUUUCCCAAAGACCUCGGUUCCUUUCGAUAUUGGCAUGUAUCGGACUAAAACUGCAUAGAUUAUGGCCCCUGAUUGUACGAAAAAUCACAUCUGUAGCUUGUAGACACUCUAUAGGUCACAAUUUUGAUCCGAUUUUGAUGAAACUUGAAAUGCAUGUUUCGAUGUUCGCGCAUAUCGGAUCGUAACUUCCUGAAUUAAUGCGUUGAUUGAUAAGAAGCCAGUUUAAAUCUUUCAGUACAGGUGUGAUGUGCUCAUAUUGUUUCGUUCUGGUUAUAAUACGGGCAGAAAUAUUUUGAAUUUUUUUUAAGAUGUUGUAAAGUUGAUGCGGGAAUGCCAAACAGUAACCAAUUGCAAUAGCCCAGGCGAGGUGUGAUCAGAGCAUUUACUUUGGUUUUAGUUGUAUCUGUAUCUAGGUAUUUACGAAUUCCCGCAGAGAUGAUUGGAGGAAGAUUUGCAAAUUGAAGAAAUAUGUUGUGUAAUGUCCAUGGUGUUGUUAAAAAUUAAACCAAGGUUUCUAGCGGAA
Long non-coding RNA from Patella vulgata (common limpet), 1591 nucleotides. RefSeq lists it as uncharacterized. The record is from RefSeq and is a predicted model, not a curated record. The transcript is spliced from 4 exons. Lineage: Eukaryota; Metazoa; Mollusca; Gastropoda; Patellidae.